GUCCCGGGGGGGCCUGCCGCAGGAGCGGGGCGCCUCUUCCGCACCUCCAGGUCACGGGGAACCUGGUGGUGACUGCUGGCUCCAGGGCCUGCCAGGCUGUGGGUCACCAAGCAGUUUCCUGUGGAAAGCCUCCCACCGGAACUCCCUGGGGUAGGUUUUAAAAAUGAAGCCUUUUUGUGCCUUCAGACGUCGUUUUACUUUAAGAACUCAUUGUAUAUCUUUAUGUCCUUUUUUAGAACAAAGAUGCAUUUAUUUUACAGAGAGAAGGGGAGUGUGCAGGAGUGGGGGGGAGAGGCAGAGGGAGAAGGAGACAAGCAGCCCCCCUGCUGAGGGGGGCUCCAUCCCACCACCCUGAGAUCAUGUUCUGGGCAGCAGUCAAGAGUUGGGUGCUUAACUGACUGAGCCACUCAGGCGCCCUUCUUUAUAUCUUUUUUUAAGUAAGGGGAAUGGAAUCCGGUUUUGCUGAGAUGUUAAACCCAAACUCCCCAGCGUGUGGGCCAUGUGUUACACAGCUGAGGACACAGGUGUGGGGGUCACAGGGGUCAGAUGUAGAGAACGGACAGCACGUUUCAGUAAGUGGACCAGCUCCGGAUUUCCUGUGGCUGAGAGACGGUGUGCAAGGCAUGGGCCGCACCCCUGGUCUUCCAGAAGCAAACACCAUCCUGGACGGUGAGGGCCACGGAGCUGAUGGCCAAGCAAACACCAUCAAACCCCUGGCUCAGAAAAACAAGCAGAGCCUGCCCACAAGGAUCUGUAGAUGCUACUUUUCGUUCAGAGACAUGACGUUCCCGUUGGUGGUCAAGUGUCUGGGCUCCUCCAGCCUGCACCGUUGUUAUCGGAACAAGGCUUCGAAAACCUGCUGUUGGGUCUGGCCCCGCUGGACAUUGACAGCCACCUCGCUCAGUGCCUGGCGGGAAGCACAGAAGACGUGGUGUGGUGAGCCGACAGCCCUGCGAGUCCAGCCAGGCGGACGCCCAGACUCCCUCUGCCUGAACCGUGUCCUUCCCGCUUCGACCGCUGUAGUAAACUUCAGUGUGGACCCCGGUGUUGUGUGUUUGUAUCGGGAGCGAAACAUGGGCCCCUUUGUCUUUUCGGAUUACGUUAAGCCGAGUGCUCGCCUGCCGUUCGAACUGGCAGAGCCGCUCAGCAGAGGGACCCAGGCCCAGGUGGAGGAGCUGAGACUCCGGAGCAGAACUGGCCGGGUCUACAGAUGGGCCGUCGGCGGGGUAGCACGUUUUCCCGUCUCCACGGACUGCACUCGCACCGGGUUUUAACUCCCCGAGGAACUGCUCCUUAUGCGGGGCAGGCCGCCGUGAGGCGCCCGCGCAGCUCACCGACGGGCGGGCGGGGACCAGCGGGAGGGACCGGGCCAGGCGCCACGGGCAGCAGGCAGGCCANNNNNNNNNNNNNNNNNNNNNNNNNNNNNNNNNNNNNNNNNNNNNNCUUCCCAGGGCAAGUAGAAAAUGGGGCACAAGACUGUUUAUAGGUAGUUUUCCUUCCAGUGCUGCCGGCCCACAGAUUCUGGAAGAGCUGGGCUUUGGUGGCAUCCACCGUGGCCGCAGAGCAGUGGCGGCAGGGAGCCGGUCACGAUCCACAAAGAGACCGUGGAGGAACCUAACUGCAGGUGACCAAGGGAAAGACGCCUGUCUGCAAAGGCCGCACGCUGUAUGACCCUCGCUCUAGGGGCUUCUGGAAAAGGCAGAACUGCAGAAACAGUAAGGAGACCCGUAGUCACCCGAGGACGCGCACAUGGGACUUUCGGGGCAGCGAGGCUACUUGCGUGAUCUGCACUGGUGGAUACAGGUCACCAUUUGUCCCAACCGCGCUCUGCACCCCCAAGACGUGAACCCGGCGUCGUGGGGACGAUGACGUGUCGGCGCGGUUCAUCCAUGGCCACACAUGGCCCCUGGGAGGGGAGGGUGACGGUGGGGGCAGGGGCACGUGGGAAACCUCGGCAGAUGGCCUGCGGCUUACGUGAACCCAAAGCCACUCUAAAUAAAGGCUAGUUUCUACAACGCCUCCA
RNAcentral lists this long non-coding RNA (2023 nucleotides) under Ursus maritimus (polar bear). RNAcentral's name for it is "lncRNA (ENSUMAG00000010373.1)". Lineage: Eukaryota; Metazoa; Chordata; Mammalia; Carnivora; Ursidae. The record is from RNAcentral.